GACGAACGCUGGCGGCGUGCUUAACACAUGCAAGUCGAACGGAAAGGCCCUGCUUUUGUGGGGUGCUCGAGUGGCGAACGGGUGAGUAACACGUGAGUAACCUGCCCUUGACUUUGGGAUAACUUCAGGAAACUGGGGCUAAUACCGGAUAGGAGCUCCUGCUGCAUGGUGGGGGUUGGAAAGUUUCGGCGGUUGGGGAUGGACUCGCGGCUUAUCAGCUUGUUGGUGGGGUAGUGGCUUACCAAGGCUUUGACGGGUAGCCGGCCUGGGAGGGUGACCGGCCACAUUGGGACUGGGAUACGGCCCAGACUCAUACGGGAGGCAGCAGUGGGGAAUAUUGCACAAUGGGCGGAGGCCUGAUGGAGCAACGCCGCGUGCGGGAUGACGGCCUUCGGGUUGUAAACCGCUUUCGCCUGUGACGAAGCGUGAGGGACGGUAAUGGGUAAAGAAGCACCGGCAAACUACGG
RNAcentral lists this ribosomal RNA (467 nucleotides) under uncultured bacterium. RNAcentral's name for it is "partial 16S ribosomal RNA". It matches the Rfam family "Bacterial small subunit ribosomal RNA", at positions 28 to 506 of the family's 1533-position model. The record is from RNAcentral.